AGUGAACGCUGGCGGUAUGCCUAACACAUGCAAGUCGAACGGCAGCACAGUAAGAGCUUGCUCUUACGGGUGGCGAGUGGCGGACGGGUGAGGAAUACAUCGGAAUCUACUUUUUCGUGGGGGAUAACGUAGGGAAACUUACGCUAAUACCGCAUACGACCUACGGGUGAAAGCAGGGGAUCUUCGGACCUUGCGCGAUUGAAUGAGCCGAUGUCGGAUUAGCUAGUUGGCGGGGUAAAGGCCCACCAAGGCGACGAUCCGUAGCUGGUCUGAGAGGAUGAUCAGCCACACUGGAACUGAGACACGGUCCAGACUCCUACGGGAGGAAGCAGUGGGGAAUAUUGGACAAUGGGCGAAAGCCUGAUCCAGCCAUACCGCGUGGGUGAAGAAGGCCUUCGGGUUGUAAAGCCCUUUUGUUGGGAAAGAAAAGCAGCAGGUUAAUACCCCGCUGUUCUGACGGUACCCAAGGAAUAAGCACCGGCUAACUUCGUG
This 492-nucleotide ribosomal RNA is filed under the name uncultured bacterium. RNAcentral describes it as "partial 16S ribosomal RNA". It matches the Rfam family "Bacterial small subunit ribosomal RNA", at positions 29 to 507 of the family's 1533-position model. The record is from RNAcentral.